Molecule: ribosomal RNA, 628 nt
Filed under: Plestiodon tetragrammus
Lineage: Eukaryota; Metazoa; Chordata; Lepidosauria; Squamata; Scincidae
Description: partial 12S ribosomal RNA
Rfam family: Bacterial small subunit ribosomal RNA
Source: RNAcentral
AUUAAAACAUAAGCGAAAGCUUGACUUAGCUAUGGUUAUAUAGGGUCGGUUAAUUUCGUGCCAGCCACCGCGCUUACACGAAAGACCCGAAACAACAGCCCCCGGCGUAAAGCGUGGCCAAAGACAGUUAAACUUUAACGAAGAACCCCUGCCAAGUCGUAAAACACCCAUGCACAUUGGAAACACACCAACAAAAUGCCCUUAAACAAAAAACUACUUGACCCACGGAAAAGCCAGGAAACAAACUGGGAUUAGAUACCCCACUAUGCUUGGCCAUAAACCACGGUAGCAUCAAACACACCGCUACUCGCCAGAGAACUACAAGUGAAAAACUUAAAACUCCAAGGACUUGGGGUGCCCCACACCAACCUAGAGGAGCCUGUCCUAUAAUCGAUAAUCCACGCUCCACCCGACCAUCUUUUGCCAUCAGCCUAUAUACCGCCGUCGUCAACCCACCCUAUGAAAGAAGCACAGUGGGUAAAAUAGUUACCAACUAACACGUCAGGUCAAGGUGUAGCACAUGAGAUGGGAGAGAUGGGCUACAUUUUCUAUUACAGAAAACACGAACAGCUCAAUGAAACUUAGGCUAAAAGGCGGAUUUAGAAGUCAGAUAAACCAACAUUUUUAU